GGAGUUGCUUUGUUGCGGCGUUUCCGAUCUAUUUAGAGUUCCGGGUCUUUUGAGAGAUCUUCUUUGUACUCCGCCUUUCGACAUUUUUUUUUUUUGAGAGAUAGGUAGCACGCUACCCGCUUCGUUUAUUUCAUUUAGAAAUAAACUUAGCUAGAAAUGUGAAUCAACUAGGAUUCUUUGUACUCCGCCUUUCGACAUUAAUAAAGUAUUUGCUCCGUCUUCGCCCGUGGACGUAGGCCGUCGGCCGAACCAGGUAAUUAUCGGUGUGCUCUUUUCUUUUCGUUUUUCGUUUCCUACAUUAAAUUAUUUUCUUGAUCUAUUUUUCGUCGUUCCAAUUUUAACAAUAUCCCUACACUAUGUACUUUAGUCCCUCGGCACCUU
RNAcentral lists this long non-coding RNA (381 nucleotides) under Ananas comosus (pineapple). Its description in RNAcentral is "long non-coding RNA (ACOM_LNC013641)". The record is from RNAcentral. Lineage: Eukaryota; Viridiplantae; Streptophyta; Magnoliopsida; Poales; Bromeliaceae.